GGUGGUUCUCAGGUGACGCACCCCAGAAUCGGGCUCUCUCCUCUCUGGUUCCGGGUGCGUCACUCCAGAACUGCA
Myotis brandtii (Brandt's bat) is the source of this 75-nucleotide non-coding RNA. NCBI's taxonomy places the organism in Eukaryota, Metazoa, Chordata, Mammalia, Chiroptera, Vespertilionidae. The record is from Rfam.